This 220-nucleotide long non-coding RNA is filed under the name Mytilus galloprovincialis (Mediterranean mussel). The record is from RNAcentral. Lineage: Eukaryota; Metazoa; Mollusca; Bivalvia; Mytilida; Mytilidae.
GAAUUGAGGAAAGUAUUUCAAGUAAAGGAGAAGGUCCGGUAAGAACCGAUUUUUGCCUCAAAUUCCAGGUUCAUCUGACGAAAGAUGUUGACCACUUUUGAAAAACUUAAGUGUCUAUUUUAUUCGAUUCAUUUAAUUUAUGUGAAAGAUUGUAACUAACUUAGUGCUUAAAAACAAUCUGAUUUAAGCUCAAAUAUGACAAAUCUUACAAAUGCGCCAA